AACAAGCCAAAUUCUGCAAAGCUUGAAUUCCGCUUAUUUUACUGAGCAAAGCCUCAAACAGCUUAUGUGCAGCUUGGCACGUUUACACUCCUAGGAUGUACCAAUGAGUUUCUCAAAAUAGAGGGACUAACUAAUAAGUAAUAGCAAUACACAAGGACUUGAGCAUAAUCCACCCUUACUUUAAACUGAAACAACCUAAACCCAGUUGCAAUUGGUUAAACAGUAAGGAUAUCCAAG
RNAcentral lists this unclassified non-coding RNA (237 nucleotides) under Hevea brasiliensis (rubber tree). Lineage: Eukaryota; Viridiplantae; Streptophyta; Magnoliopsida; Malpighiales; Euphorbiaceae. The record is from RNAcentral.